CCUGCCUGUGACGGCGGCGGCGGCGGCUCCAGACACCGGCGGCGGCGGCGGCGGCGGCCACCCCGCGGCGGCGACCCCGCGGCGGCGCGAAGAUGUGGCCCCUGGUGCUGCUGCUGCUGUUGGGCUCGGCGUGCUGCGGUUCCGCUCAGCUAAUAUUUAAUAUAACCAAGUCUGUAGAAUACACCGUUUGCAAUGAAAGUGUCAUCAUCCCAUGCUUUGUUAAUAAUGUGGAGGCGAAAAGCAUUACUGAAAUGUAUGUAAAGUGGAAAUUUAAAGGAAAAGACAUUUACACCUACAGUGGACAAGGGCAAAAGACCACUAAUGACCUCGACUUUAAGAGUGCAACUAUCACAGCUUCAGAAUUACUAAAAGGCAUUGCCUCUUUGAAGAUGGAUAAGAGGGACGCCCGUGUAGGAAACUAUACCUGUGAAGUGACAGAAUUAAGCAGAGAAGGCGAAACCAUCAUAGAACUGAAAUAUCGUGUUGUUUCUUGGUUUUCUCCAAAGGAAAAUAUUCUCAUUGUUAUUUUCCCAAUUUUGGCUAUACUUCUGUCCUGGGGACAGUUUGGUAUUGUGACACUUAAAUAUAAAUCCAAUCCUAUGAAGGGGAAAACCAUUUUUUUAUUUGUUGCUGGACUGGUGCUCACUAUAGAUGUCAUCGUUGGAGCCAUUCUUUUCAUCCCAGGUGAAUUUUCAACAAAGAAUGCUUGGGGACUUGGUUUAAUUGUAAUUCCUACAGCAACAUUAACGUUACUUCAGUACUGUGUGUUUUCGAUGUCUUUUGGGAUGAGCUCCUCCACCAUCGCCAUACUGAUCCUCCAGGUGCUGGGCUUUGUGCUCUCUGUGGUUGGACUAAGCCUCUGUAUCUCAGAGUGCACCCCAGUGCAUGGCCCUCUUCUGAUUUCAGGUUUGGGUAUUAUAGCUCUAGCAGAAUUAGUUGGAUUAGUUUAUAUGAAAUUCUUUGAGUUCAGAGGCACACCUUCGGUCAGUUGAAGGGCAAGAAGAGAAAAGAUUCCCAUAAGAAGACUAUACAGACUUCUAGGAAAGCUGUAGAGGAACCCCUUAAUGAAUAACUGAAGUGAAGUGACGGACUCUGAUUUGGAGAAUAGUAAGACGUGAAAGGAAUACACUUGUGUUUAUGCACCAUGGCCCUGAUUCACUGUUCUGGAGAAUAAAACAAGAAAAGUAACUGGUUUUUAUCUACAGGAGAAAGUAUAUCAUUGACCCUUAAAUGAUUGUUAUAAAUAAGAUUUUAUUCAAUGCAUUUGUAAUUUAGUUAAUAAAAGAAUUAUGAUCUGUGUUGUGUGCCCAA
This is an RNA transcript of Diceros bicornis minor, 1311 nucleotides long. It is a transcript of the gene named CD47 molecule, with no coding region annotated. The transcript has 11 exons. Lineage: Eukaryota; Metazoa; Chordata; Mammalia; Perissodactyla; Rhinocerotidae. The record is from RefSeq and is a predicted model, not a curated record.